UGUGAUGUCACGCAGAGCAAACUAGACUGAGAGACGAGCAGGCUGGGGUUGUGGUCAGGGUCCCGGCAGGAGAGAGCUGGCAUUUCAAGGGGUAACUGUAGGGAGUUUCAUGAACGAGGCGAGGGUACGCAGAGGCGCAGGCGCCUUAUGGAGCCAGCGAGGGAGGGGAAGGCUCUCGGGGUCUCACAGGAGCGUUUGCCCAGCGUUACCCGAAUGUCCCAGGUCUCCCCUUCCCUCCCUGCUGCAUUGGCAGCCCCCUCCUCCCUGGCUGUUGCUGGGAGAGCGUCUUGGGUUGUGCUCACUGGGAGAGGGUCUUUGGUCGUGCUCACAAACACACAAAGUCCAGCAAUUCCCAUGCAUUGAGGAUUGAGGUUGUUAUGGCCUCCGGCCUGUAGCUGAUCAGCAUGCCCCUCCUCGCUUUCUGCGGAGCACAUCCUACAAGUGACAGAGCAUGACUUUAAAACCGGAGCCUGCAGUGCCAUCUGGCACAACACCGUUCUGCUCAUGCACAGACCCAUUCCCAACUGCCUGUGGCUACCAUCGCUUCUAUUCAAAAGGUCUCUUUCCUGAACCAUCUGCUCCUCCCCCUGCAUUCGUCAGAAGAUGUUGCUCAAGGUAGAAACCACAGGGAAAGUCGUGGAGUUCUGUCCUCCCUCACUGGAGUCCCACCAGUGCUCCCUCACACCCCACACAUCAGUACCUCCUCUCCAGCCUCAACCCCUCUGCCUUCUUUCCAGCUGCCACCAUCCUCUUAGGCCCCUUGUCUUACCUGGCUCCCAUUUCAUCCGCUCAAGAACCAUCUGUGGCUGAUGUGGACUCGAGAACAGAGCCCAGAGCUUUCAAGCCUCCCCGACAUCUGAACCCCAGGACUAAUGAAAAAACGUAAUGUAAAUCAGCUUGGAUCCAGGACAGAUAAGCUGUAGAAACACUGUCUGCACUUCAGGAGCAUAUCUUCAUAAAGAUAUAUGGAAAUAUAGACAAAAUCGUAAAGAUAAACUUCAAAUGUUACUUCUACUAUGUGUUUUCUUAGUACGUUUAAACUGUUGUAAAUAAGAUAAAGACGAUUUAUUUGUGUUGAUGCAAAGAAUCCACAACCAACGUAUAAAUGAAAAUUGAGGUCAUUUUUACCAACAAAUUCACGCCAACAGAAUUAAAGUUCAUCCUGAUUACACGUCAGACUAAAGGAGUAAAGGAUUUCUUGGUAAUUUAUGCUGCCAUACCUUUUGAAACAUUAAGAAUUUUUGCCAAAGAAUUCUUAACUUUUUAUUCUGAAAGACUUUAAAAUUUAUAGAAGAAGCACAAGAAGCCUCGAAAGUAUCCCAUGUACCCUCAGCAAAUUCACUAACUGAAAACACUUCACCCCAUUUACUUAUUAUCUCUUUCGUGUGAUUUCUGAACCAUUUGAAAGUGAAUUGUUGACAUCAUACGCUUUACUCCUAAAUACUUCAGAGUAUGUUUCCUAACAACAACAUGAUUAUCAAAUUGAAGAAAUUUAAUACUGAUAUAUUAUUAUUGUCACAUUCAGAUUUCACCAAUUUUCCCAGUAAUACUUUUAUGGAAAACGUUCCCCCUGAUCCACAUUGCAUUUAGUUUUCAUGUCUAUUUUCUUUGUCUUGAAUGACAUUAUCAUUUUCCAAAAGUACAGGCCCG
Equus caballus (horse) is the source of this 1650-nucleotide long non-coding RNA. NCBI's taxonomy places the organism in Eukaryota, Metazoa, Chordata, Mammalia, Perissodactyla, Equidae. The record is from Ensembl.